AACGAACGCUGGCGGCAUGCCUAACACAUGCAAGUCGAACGAAGCCUUCGGGCUUAGUGGCGCACGGGUGCGUAACACGUGGGAAUCUGCCCUUCGGUUCGGAAUAACAGUUAGAAAUGACUGCUAAUACCGGAUGAUGACGAAAGUCCAAAGAUUUAUCGCCGAAGGAUGAGCCCGCGUAGGAUUAGGUAGUUGGUAGGGUAAUGGCCUACCAAGCCGACGAUCCUUAGCUGGUCUGAGAGGAUGAUCAGCCACACUGGGACUGAGACACGGCCCAGACUCCUACGGGAGGCAGCAGUGGGGAAUAUUGGACAAUGGGCGAAAGCCUGAUCCAGCAAUGCCGCGUGAGUGAUGAAGGCCUUAGGGUUGUAAAGCUCUUUUACCAGGGAUGAUAAUGACAGUACCUGGAGAAUAAGCUCCGGCUAACUCCGUGCCAGCAGCCGCGGUAAGCACGAGAGUA
This 460-nucleotide ribosomal RNA is filed under the name uncultured bacterium. RNAcentral's name for it is "bacterial SSU rRNA". It matches the Rfam family "Bacterial small subunit ribosomal RNA", at positions 29 to 533 of the family's 1533-position model. The record is from RNAcentral.